Molecule: ribosomal RNA, 440 nt
Filed under: uncultured bacterium
Lineage: Bacteria
Description: partial 16S ribosomal RNA
Rfam family: Bacterial small subunit ribosomal RNA
Source: RNAcentral
CCUACGGGUGGCUGCAGUGGGGAAUCUUGCGCAAUGGGCGAAAGCCUGACGCAGCAACGCCGCGUGCGGGAUGACGGCCUUCGGGUUGUAAACCGCUUUCAGCAGGGACGAAGAUGACGGUACCUGCAGAAGAAGCCCCGGCUAACUACGUGCCAGCAGCCGCGGUAAUACGUAGGGGGCGAGCGUUGUCCGGAUUUAUUGGGCGUAAAGAGCUCGUAGGCGGUUCCGUAAGUCAGGUGUGAAAAAUCUGGGCUCAACCCAGUGGAGCAACUGGGACUGCGGGGACUCGAGUCCGGUAGGGGAGUGUGGAAUUCCUGGUGUAGCGGUGAAAUGCGCAGAUAUCAGGAGGAACACCGACGGCGAAGGCAGCACUCUGGGCCGGUACUGACGCUGAGGAGCGAAAGCGUGGGGAGCGAACAGGAUUAGAUACCCUUGUAGUC